GACAGAGGGGGCAAGCGUUGUCCGGAGUUACUGGGCGUAAAGCGCACGCAGGCGGCUGGGCGCGUGUGGGGUGAAAGCCGCGAGCUUAACUCGCGGUCGCCCCCGCAUACGGCUCAGCUCGAGCCCGGGAGAGGUCCCUCGAAUUGCCGGUGUAGUGGUGAAAUGCGUAGAGAUCGGCAGGAAGACCAAGGGGGAAGCCAGGGGACUGGCCCGCGGCUGACGCUCAGGUGCGAGAGCGUGGGGAGCGAACCGG
This 253-nucleotide ribosomal RNA is filed under the name uncultured bacterium. RNAcentral describes it as "partial 16S ribosomal RNA". It matches the Rfam family "Bacterial small subunit ribosomal RNA", at positions 524 to 776 of the family's 1533-position model. The record is from RNAcentral.